GUCUAUGACCAUACAACCUUGAGCGUGCCCUAUUCCAUCAAUCUUAGAAGCUAAGCAGGGUUGGGCCUGGUUAGUACUUGGAUGGGAGACCAUCUGAGAAUACUGGGUGCUAUAUGGA
This is a ribosomal RNA of Loxodonta africana (African savanna elephant), 118 nucleotides long. The record is from Ensembl. NCBI's taxonomy places the organism in Eukaryota, Metazoa, Chordata, Mammalia, Proboscidea, Elephantidae.